RNAcentral lists this ribosomal RNA (814 nucleotides) under Steinernema sp. YNc215. RNAcentral's name for it is "eukaryotic LSU rRNA". It matches the Rfam family "Eukaryotic large subunit ribosomal RNA", at positions 106 to 912 of the family's 3401-position model. The record is from RNAcentral. Lineage: Eukaryota; Metazoa; Nematoda; Chromadorea; Rhabditida; Steinernematidae.
AGCUCAGCGUCGAAGCCGUGUUGACUACCGUUAACAUGGUACUGUGACGUAUAGAGGUGUUCAUGUGCGUUUUGUUGAUGGUACGAAUUUCCCUUGACUAGGAAUCCAAAGCGGGUGCAAGACCUGUACGUGCUGUUAGCUUUUCGUACGCGUUCAUUUCUUGGAGUAGGAUUGUUUGAGAUCGCAGUCCGAAGUAGGUGGUAUUUUUCAUCUAAAGCUAAAUAUGACUAUGAAUCCGAUAGCGAACAAGUACCGUGAGGGAAAGUUGCAAAGUACUUUGAAGAGAGAGUUCAAAAGGACGUGAAACCGAUAGGGUGGAAGCAGAUAAAAUUGACGAACGGGUGUCGUAUUCAGGAUUGCAUCUUGUGUGCAGUUUGUUCUUACGGCCGUUGUGGGCUGGCGGCUUUGGUUAAUGCAAUGUGUUUGGCAUCGAAGGUGACCCUGUGGAGGGACUUUCAUUCGUUGUGCGAUGCUUGGUAUAGCUAAGGUAAUCGCUGGUCUUGAAGUCAGUGAUUUAUCUGACCCGUCUUGAAACACGGACCAAGGAGUGUACUGUUUGCGCAAGUCUUAGAGUGUGUUGAAACUUUGAGGCGCAACGAAAGUGAAUAUAGCUGGAUCUAUUGUCUUGGGAUAUGUUGUCUCUUGUGGACGGCAUUGGACCAUGGUUUUAUCGCGAUCGCUUGCGGUGCGGUGAAAAUUGAGCGUAAACAGUGCGACCCGAAAGAUGGUGAACUAUGCCUGAGCAGGAUGAAGCCGGAGGAAACUCUGGUGGAAGUCCGAAGCGGUUCUGACGUGCAAAUCGAUCGUCUGACUU